ACUCAAUCUUGUUGUUUCUCUCAGAUCAUAAGGUAUAUAUUUGGCACAAGCGCAGCGAGCUGCCGAUCGUGGAGUUGACUGGACACACACGCACAGUGAACUGUGUCAGCUGGAACCCUUGUAUUCCCAAUCUUAUGGCCAGCGCUUCUGACGACGGCACAGUCCGUAUCUGGGGACCCGCACCCUUCCUGGACGCACAAGAGCAGGACACCCUCAAUGAGAGUUGCAGCAGUAUGGACAGUUGAUGGCAGCCCUGGAACAGAAGACUUGUCGCAUCGGAAAAUGCGAAAUCCAACAGAGAAAAACACGAUUACAGCAUUGUCCUCCUCCACAACAACGCACGAGUCCAAACGCGAAAGAGUUUCAGAGCCUCGCUUUCAGGUGUCCGGAAGCAGCAGAGACCUGACGCUGAUUCGACCCGCUUCCAUACCGACGGAUCUGAUCUCUUUCCCUCCACGGCUGUUCCCACAUUAUUACCCUUUCAUUAGGCCUGAAGACGAGAGCUGGAGCGCCCGGACGGGUGUAUAAACUCACACUCAAUGUUUUUCUCUCUCUCGCUCUCAAUCCUCCAGCGGCAGAGGACGAAACACUUUUUUUAAAGAAAUACUAGUCCUAGCAAUUCUCUCUUUCGUUCCUUUAGCAGUUGAUCAGCUUGGGCUUUAGUGUUGAUGAUGGAGUGCUGUAGUUUUUCCGUUUUUUUUUUUUUUUAAUCUUUCAGAACACAAAUGCAUUGGUUUCAACCGGACUCGCACGCAUCAGCAGGGGUCAGAGGUCGCCGUUUCGAUCUCUGAGAGUUUAAAUGUUCGACUGAAUUCUGCUUCGGCCUCCCUCCUGUAGCACAGCCCGCGUGUGAGAGUGUGAGUGUUCAAAUGUGCCUAAAGUUGGUGUACGUUCGCAUGUGGCACUGCUCUCACACCAGCGUGAGUGUGUCCCUUGUUUAGCCGUGCGAAUCGUUUUAACAGAAUCUGAUCGAAGCCCCAGAGACCUUCAUCUGUGGAACAAAAACUUGAGAAGCAUUUUUUGUUUUUUAAAAAGCAAGCUAUUAGCGAAGUUCCUCGUUUUCACCACUUAGCUUAGAGGUGGCGUUCGGGAGAGAGACUUUGUAAUAUUAGUACAAAAAUAAAUCGACUUUGAGGGCGAAACGCACAGCUUUAAACAGAAAGAUACUGUGACACUCAAAAUGUCAAUCAGAUAUUCGGCUCCUGAUGAGGAGUUUGUGGCGUAUAAAUGACCUAUGCAGCAACGUUUGAGCUGAGAGCCCCCAUAUAAAGUCACUCGCAGCAGCCAUACCAGCAUUAAAAUAAACCGUCUUCAAAUCCACAAUGAUUUCAUCCACACGAAAGCUCUGCCUGUACGCUAGUUCAGUUAUAUCCACACAGUCACGUUCUCUGAUCUGAGCUGUUUCCACCAAAUAUCCAGCUUUUGAGUCCCGUUUUAGGAGAGAAAUAUUUGCUAUGGACUGAUAUUAAAUGUUUGAAAAGAAAUGCUUUUCUGCCUGUUUUUAUGGAAGUUUUUGUUACUUUUUUUGGUUUACAAUAUUUUGUUUUUUUGGUUGACUUUAUCUCUGUAUCAUUAUAUUAAACUAUAACCAGAUAAA
Long non-coding RNA from Sinocyclocheilus grahami, 1597 nucleotides. RefSeq lists it as uncharacterized. NCBI's taxonomy places the organism in Eukaryota, Metazoa, Chordata, Actinopteri, Cypriniformes, Cyprinidae. The record is from RefSeq and is a predicted model, not a curated record. The transcript is spliced from 2 exons.